CCUACGGGAGGCUGCAGUGAGGAAUAUUGGUCAAUGGCCGAGAGUCUGAACCAGCCAAGUAGCGUGAAGGAUGACUGCCCUAUGGGUUGUAAACUUCUUUUAUAUGGGAAUAAAACGUUCCACGUGUGGGAUUUUGUAUGUACCAUAUGAAUAAGGAUCGGCUAACUCCGUGCCAGCAGCCGCGGUAAUACGGAGGAUCCGAGCGUUAUCCGGAUUUAUUGGGUUUAAAGGGAGCGUAGGUGGGUUGUUAAGUGAGUUGUGAAAUUUUGUGGCUCAACCGUAAAAUUGCAGGUGAAACUGGCAGUCUUGAGUACACGAGAGGUAGGCGGAAUUCGUGGUGUAGCGGUGAAAUGCUUAGAUAUCACGAAGAACCCCGAUUGCGAAGGCAGUUCACUGGACUGCAACUGACGCUGAGGCUCGAAAGUGUGGGUAUCAAACAGGAUUAGAUACCCGAGUAGUC
RNAcentral lists this ribosomal RNA (460 nucleotides) under uncultured bacterium. RNAcentral describes it as "partial 16S ribosomal RNA". It matches the Rfam family "Bacterial small subunit ribosomal RNA", at positions 338 to 795 of the family's 1533-position model. The record is from RNAcentral.